UAGCGUAUAUUAAAGUUGUUGCAGUUAGAACGCUCGUAGUCGGAUUUCGGGGCGGGGCGACCGGUCUGCCGAUGGGUAUGCACUGGUCGGCGCGUCCUUCCUUCCGGAGACCGUUCCUACUCUUAACUGAGCGGGGGCGGGAGACGGAUCGUUUACUUUGAAAAAAUCAGAGUGUUUCAAGCAGGCAGCUCGCUCUUGCAUGGAUUAGCAUGGGAUAAUGAAAUAGGACUUUGGUGCUAUUUUGUUGGUUUCGAACACCGAAGUAAUGAUUAAAAGGGACAGUCAGGGGCACUCGUAUUCCGCCGAGAGAGGUGAAAUUCUCAGACCAGCGGAAGACGAACCACUGCGAAAGCAUUUG
This 358-nucleotide ribosomal RNA is filed under the name Haptophyta environmental samples. RNAcentral's name for it is "SSU rRNA". It matches the Rfam family "Eukaryotic small subunit ribosomal RNA", at positions 595 to 957 of the family's 1831-position model. The record is from RNAcentral. Lineage: Eukaryota; Haptophyta.